UACGAAGGGGGCUAGCGUUGUUCGGAUUUACUGGGCGUAAAGGGCGCGUAGGCGGCCAGCACAAGUCAGUUGUGAAAUCUCCGAGCUUAACUCGGAACGGUCAACUGAUACUGUGCGGCUAGAGUGCGGAAGGGGCAACUGGAAUUCUUGGUGUAGCGGUGAAAUGCGUAGAUAUCAAGAGGAACACCUGCGGCGAAGGCGGGUUGCUGGGCUGACACUGACGCUGAAGCGCGAAAGCUAGGGUAGCAAACGGG
This 254-nucleotide ribosomal RNA is filed under the name uncultured bacterium. Its description in RNAcentral is "partial 16S ribosomal RNA". It matches the Rfam family "Bacterial small subunit ribosomal RNA", at positions 524 to 776 of the family's 1533-position model. The record is from RNAcentral.